ACUCUCCAGCUUCCUUACCUUUGGUAUCUAAAUCAUGGUCAGAGUGGCUGAUAAAGGAGGAAAAGUAACACCGAAGUAGACUUGGAGUCCUUAGUGACAUACAAGCUCUAUGUAAACAUAC
This 121-nucleotide small nucleolar RNA is filed under the name Echinops telfairi (small Madagascar hedgehog). RNAcentral's name for it is "Small nucleolar RNA SNORA61 (ENSETEG00000024845.1)". Lineage: Eukaryota; Metazoa; Chordata; Mammalia; Afrosoricida; Tenrecidae. The record is from RNAcentral.